Glycine soja is the source of this 1287-nucleotide RNA transcript. It is a transcript of the gene named U4/U6.U5 small nuclear ribonucleoprotein 27 kDa protein pseudogene, with no coding region annotated. The record is from RefSeq and is a predicted model, not a curated record. The transcript has 3 exons. Lineage: Eukaryota; Viridiplantae; Streptophyta; Magnoliopsida; Fabales; Fabaceae.
CCUUACAAGUAGUAGCAUGGAGUGGUUUAUAGGGUUUAGAACCAUGACUUGAACCUCUAUCUCCUUCUCCACCAUCACACCUUCCACCAUGACCGAUCGUGACCGCGACCGAGACCGUGACCGAACUCGCGACAGAGAAAGAGAACGAAGAAGAGAUAAGGACGAUCGUGACCGAGACAGAGACCGAGCACGCAGCAAGAGAUCUCGCUCGCGUUCGCCUGACCGUGGCCGCUCCCGCCACGCGCGCUCUCCCUCUCCCAGCGAGCGCUCCCACCGCCGGCGGCAUCACCGGACGCCGUCCCCCGACCCGCCGCGGAAGCGCCACCGGAGAGACUCGGCGGAGGAGGAUCACAAGGAGACGAAGAAAGCGGUGUCGGACUUCGUGGACGGCAUCGUGAAGGAGCAGCAGCAGAAGGAGAACGGAGACGGAGGAGAAGGAGAAGCUGAGGGGAGCGAGGAUGAGUUGGAGAUAAUGAAGAUGUUUGGGAUUCCCACCGGAUUUGACUCCACCAAGGGGAAACCGGUUCCCGGUGCUGACGUCAGCGGCGUCAGAGCCGUCACCAAGCGCCAGCCGCGCCAGUACAUGAACCGCCGCGGCGGAUUUAAUCGCCCAUUGCCUGCUGAGAGGAAUCGCUAGGGUUUUCUUUUUUUCAGUAAUGCAGGUUGCUAACAGACUAUUGAUCAAAGGAUUGGCAGGCAUGUUGGAUGGAAGUUGUGAGUUAUUAGCAGUAGGGAAUGUGCAGUAUUUGUUAUUUAUGGCUGAUUGUAGAAGAACCUUAUCUUUUUCAAAGCCUUGACUAAGAUUGGAGACUGUAAAGAGAUUUCAAUUACAAGUGGUUAGACUGUGGAACAUAAGACGAGUAAUUUCCUUUGGUGGUAGACGGUGGUUAAUCAUGUGGAAUGUUGGAUCCAGAAACCCUUGGUGGGACCCAAAAUGAAAGCUCGCGAGCGUUCCACCAGUUACUUGUGUCGUUCAUUUAAUACCCCGUGCUACCUUCAGCUCAAUAUAUCCUGCGUAAUUGGUGUUAGGCGUGCUUUUAUUUUUUUAUCCAUCUACUAAUUGUCUAGUUACAUUCAUAGAAUUUGUCAAAUUUUCAUGCGGUAUGUACAUUUAGCUGCACGCCUUACGCCUUGGGAAUUGGGAUGCACAUGCUUUAUGUAAUCAAGUGAUUCUGGAUUUCAAUAUCAUGCAUGGCCAAUAUCCGUGCGAGUUUGUUAACUCUGUCCUAAACUACUAGUUUUAAUGCUACUAGUAUAUCUAUGCUGAUACGCAUUUAAUGUACAAAA